UGAAAUAGGGAGAACCAGGCGGCUGGUUAAUGUUUUAUUUUUUAUUUGUUCUUUAUGGAUAUAUAUGGUACACGGUAAUGAAAUGUAGACAAGGCAACAGCUUAUGGAUUGUGUAGGUGAUGAUUGUUCGUAUCUUUGAAUUCUAGGAGGCUAAAUACUGAUGUUAGCAUGCAUGGUUGGGAGACACAGGUAGUUUUGACAUGUUUCUAUUAUUGGGAGGACUCUGAAUUCAUGGGAACAAAAUUGUUGAGUGUCAGAGGUACUCUAAGAGGCUGAAUGAGAAACAGAUUGUUAUACAGACCAUUCAUCACAAUGCUUACCGUGAACACCAUUAUGCCAGAGAGCUGGAAUUAAAAUCAGUGAAAAGCUUGCUUGGGUUGAAGCACAUUCUUUGUGCACCAUGGUUCCCCCUGCAUAUUAUGCCCAUGUUGCUGCCGAUCCGAGCUUACUUCUAUUGGAGCUGAGACUUCUGACACCAGAUCAAUGACCAGCGGUGCUGCUGCAGGUGUGGAGGCAUGGGAGGAAGUGCGGGUGCACGAGGCACGCAGGCACCAGGUCUGAAUGCUGCUUUAAGGUCCUUGCCUGAAGGCUAUGCAAUGCUGAAAACAAAAAA
This is a long non-coding RNA of Ziziphus jujuba (common jujube), 613 nucleotides long. RefSeq lists it as uncharacterized. The record is from RefSeq and is a predicted model, not a curated record. Lineage: Eukaryota; Viridiplantae; Streptophyta; Magnoliopsida; Rosales; Rhamnaceae. The transcript has 3 exons.